Molecule: ribosomal RNA, 253 nt
Filed under: uncultured bacterium
Lineage: Bacteria
Description: partial 16S ribosomal RNA
Rfam family: Bacterial small subunit ribosomal RNA
Source: RNAcentral
UACGGGGGGGGCAAGCGUUGUUCGGAAUUACUGGGCGUAAAGGGCUUGUAGGCGGCCAACUAAGUCCGACGUGAAAUCCCCAGGCUUAACCUGGGAACUGCGUCGGAUACUGGAUGGCUUGAGUUCGGGAGAGGGAUGCAGAAUUCCAGGUGUAGCGGUGAAAUGCGUAGAUAUCUGGAGGAACACCGGUGGCGAAGGCGGGUCUCUGGGCCGUAACUGACGCUGAGGAGCGAAAGCGUGGGGAGCGAACAGG